Molecule: transfer RNA, 84 nt
Filed under: Ktedonobacter sp.
Lineage: Bacteria; Bacillati; Chloroflexota; Ktedonobacteria; Ktedonobacterales; Ktedonobacteraceae
Description: tRNA-Ser
Rfam family: tRNA
About the family: Transfer RNA (tRNA) molecules are approximately 80 nucleotides in length. Their secondary structure includes four short double-helical elements and three loops (D, anti-codon, and T loops).
Source: RNAcentral
GGAGGAGUCGCAUAGUGGCCUAGUGCGCUCGUUUGCUAAAUGAGUGAGGAAUCCCCUCCGUGAGUUCGAAUCUCACCUCCUCCG